This 1243-nucleotide ribosomal RNA is filed under the name metagenome. RNAcentral describes it as "bacterial LSU rRNA". It matches the Rfam family "Bacterial large subunit ribosomal RNA", at positions 1564 to 2818 of the family's 2925-position model. The record is from RNAcentral.
UGAAUACGAGACGCUAAGGCGUCGAAGUAGUGUAUGUCAUACUUCCAAGAAAAGCUUGCACUGUCAUAGAUAAAAAACGCCUGUACCAUAACCGACACAGGUGGGUAGGUAGAGUAUACUAAGGGGCGCGAGAUAACUCUCUCUAAGGAACUCGGCAAAAUAACUCCGUAACUUCGGGAGAAGGAGUGCCUUAUUCGUAAGGUUGCAAUAACAAGAUCCAAGCAACUGUUUAUCAAAAACACAGGUCUCCGCUAAGUCGUAAGACGAUGUAUGGGGGCUGACGCCUGCCCAGUGCCAGAAGGUUAAAGAAGUUGGUUAGCAAUUGCGAAGCUGAUAACUGAAGCCCUGGUGAACGGCGGCCGUAACUAUAACGGUCCUAAGGUAGCGAAAUUCCUUGUCGGGUAAGUUCCGACCCGCACGAAAGGCGUAAUGAUUUGGAUACUGUCUCGGAGAGGGGCUCGGUGAAAUAGACUUGUCUGUGAAGAUGCGGACUACCUGCACCAGGACAGAAAGACCCUAUGAAGCUUUACUGUAACUUGAAAUUGAAAUUGGACUAUAUUCGCGCAGUAUAGGUGGGAGGCGUUGAUUAUAAUCUUGUGGGAUUAUUGGAGCCAUCAGUGAGAUACCACUCUUGUAAUGUUAGAUUUCUAACUUUGAAUCAUUAUCUGGUCAAAGAACGGUUUCAGGCGGGCAGUUUGACUGGGGCGGUCGCCUCCUAAACGGUAACGGAGGCGUACAAAGGUUUCCUCUGAACGGUUAGAAAUCGUAUCUAGAGUGUAAAGGCAUAAGGAAGCUUGACUGUGAGACCUACAAGUCGAGCAGGGACGAAAGUCGGUCUUAGUGAUCUGACGGUACUGAGUGGAAAGGCCGUCACUCAACGGAUAAAAGUUACUCUAGGAUAACAGGCUGAUCUCCCCCAAGAGUUCACAUCGACGGGGAGGUUUGGCACCUCGAUGUCGGCUCAUCGCAUCCUGGGGCGGUAGUACGUCCCAAGGGUUGGGCUGUUCGCCCAUGAAAGCGGUACGCGAGCUGGGUUCAGAACGUCGUGAGACAGUUCGGUCCAUAUCCGGUGUAGGCGUUAGAAUAUUGAGAGGAGCCUUCUUUAGUACGAGAGGACCGAGAAGGACAUACCUCUGGUGUACCAGUUAUCGUGCCAACGGUAAACGCUGGGUAGCUAUGUAUGGAGUGGAUAACCGCUGAAAGCAUCUAAGUGGGAAGCCCACCUCAAGAUAGUAUUCUCAUC